CCCUUAGAUGUUCUGGGCCACACGCGCGUUACACUGAUGAAGCCAGCGAGUAUAUCGCCUUCACCGGAAGGUGCGGGUAAUCUUGUGAAACUUCAUCGUGCUGGGGAUAGACCAUUGCAAUUAUUGGUCUUGAACGAGGAAUUCCUAGUAAGCAUGAGUCAUCAACUCGUGCUGACUACGUCCCUGCCCUUUGUACACACCGCCCGUCGCUACUACCGAUUGAAUGGUUUAGUGAGAUCUCGGGAUUGGAGACGUUGCGCCGCAAGGCACAUCGUCCUCGAGAACUUGAUCAAACUUGAUCAUUUAGAGGAAGUAAAAGUCGUAACA
RNAcentral lists this ribosomal RNA (327 nucleotides) under uncultured eukaryote. Its description in RNAcentral is "partial 18S ribosomal RNA". It matches the Rfam family "Eukaryotic small subunit ribosomal RNA", at positions 1470 to 1796 of the family's 1831-position model. The record is from RNAcentral.